Molecule: ribosomal RNA, 560 nt
Filed under: uncultured bacterium
Lineage: Bacteria
Description: bacterial SSU rRNA
Rfam family: Bacterial small subunit ribosomal RNA
Source: RNAcentral
CCUACGGGAGGCAGCAGUGGGGAAUCUUGCGCAAUGGGCGAAAGCCUGACGCAGCCAUGCCGCGUGAAUGAUGAAGGUCUUAGGAUUGUAAAAUUCUUUCACCGAGGACGAUAAUGACGGUACUCGGAGAAGAAGCCCCGGCUAACUUCGUGCCAGCAGCCGCGGUAAUACGAAGGGGGCUAGCGUUGCUCGGAAUUACUGGGCGUAAAGGGAGCGUAGGCGGAUAGUUUAGUCAGAGGUGAAAGCCCAGGGCUCAACCUUGGAAUUGCCUUUGAUACUGGCUAUCUUGAGUACGGAAGAGGUAUGUGGAACUCCGAGUGUAGAGGUGAAAUUCGUAGAUAUUCGGAAGAACACCAGUGGCGAAGGCGACAUACUGGUCCGUUACUGACGCUGAGGCUCGAAAGCGUGGGGAGCAAACAGGAUUAGAUACCCUGGUAGUCCACGCUGUAAACGAUGAGUGCUAGUUGUCGGCAUGCAUGCAUGUCGGUGACGCAGCUAACGCAUUAAGCACUCCGCCUGGGGAGUACGGUCGCAAGAUUAAAACUCAAAUGAAUUGACGG